Long non-coding RNA from Oncorhynchus mykiss (rainbow trout), 6999 nucleotides. NCBI's taxonomy places the organism in Eukaryota, Metazoa, Chordata, Actinopteri, Salmoniformes, Salmonidae. The record is from Ensembl.
AUGUCUCUGUUUCACUACAUCACUCCUCAGGUACCUCUCUCUCCCCCAUCCCAGAGGAGCCCAGUGGGUUCCAGACCAGAGGAUUCAACACGGACCUCCCUGAUGUCUCUAUUUCACUACAUCACUCCUCAGGUACCUAUCUCUCUCUCUCCUCUUCUCUCCCUAUCCCUCUCUCUCCUCUUCUCUCCCUAUCCCUCUCUCUCUCUCCCUAUCUCUCUCUCUCCCCCUCUCCCUAUCCCUCUCUCUCUCUCCCUAUCUCUCUCUAUCCCCGCUCUCCCUAUCCCUCUCUCUCCCCUUCUCUCCCUAUCCCUCUCUCUCCCCUUCUCUCCCUAUCCCUCUCUCUCUAUCUCUCUCUCUCCCCCUCUCCCUAUCCCUCUCUCUCUCUCCCUAUCUCUCUCUCUCUCCCUCUCCCUAUCCCUCUCUCUCUCUCCCUAUCUCUCUCUCUCCCCCUCUCCCUAUCCCUCUCUCUCUCUCCCUAUCUCUCUCUCUCUCUCCCUAUCCCUCUCUCUCCUCUUCUCUCCCUAUCCCUCUCUCUCUCUCCCUAUCUCUCUCUCUCCCCCUCUCCCUAUCCCUCUCUCUCUCUCCCUAUCCCUCUCUCUCCUCUUCUCUCCCUAUCCCUCUCUCUCUCUCCCUAUCUCUCUCUCUCCCCCUCUCCCUAUCCCUCUCUCUCUCUCCCUAUCUCUCUCUCUCCCCCUCUCCCUCUCUCUCUCUCCCUAUCUCUCUCUCUCCCCCUCUCCCUCUCUCUCUCUCCCUAUCUCUCUCUCUCCCCCUCUCCCUAUCCCUCUCUCUCUCUCCCUAUCCCUCUCUCUCCUCUUCUCUCCCUAUCCCUCUCUCUCUCUCCCUAUCUCUCUCUCUCCCCCUCUCCCUAUCCCUCUCUCUCUCUCCCUAUCUCUCUCUCUCCCCCUCUCCCUCUCUCUCUCUCCCUAUCUAUCUCUCUCCCCCUCUCCCUAUCCCUCUCUCUCUCUCCCUAUCUCUCUCUCUCUCUCCAACAGCAGAAAACAACAGAAUAGCCUGCAUCCCAAAUGGCAUCCUACCCUAUGGUCACUGCACUAUAUAGGGAAUAGAGCCCUAUGGUCACUGCACUAUAUAGGGAAUAGAGCCCUAUGGUCACUGCACUAUAUAGGGAAUAGAGCCCUAUGGUCACUGCACUAUAUAGGGAAUAGAGCCCUAUGGUCACUGCACUAUAUAGGGAAUAGAGCCCUAUGGUCACUGCACUAUAUAGGGAAUAGAGCCCUAUGGUCACUGCACUAUAUAGGGAAUAGAGCCCUAUGGUCACUGCACUAUAUAGGGAAUAGAGCCCUAUGGUCACUGCACUAUAUAGGGAAUAGAGCCCUAUGGUCACUGCACUAUAUAGGGAAUAGAGCCCUAUGGUCACUGCACUAUAUAGGGAAUAGAGCCCUAUGGUCACUGCACUAUAUAGGGAAUAGAGCCCUAUGGUCUCUGCACUAUAUAGGGAAUAGAGCCCUAUGGUCACUGCACUAUAUAGGGAAUAGAGCCCUAUGGUCACUGCACUAUAUAGGGAAUAGAGCCCUAUGGCCACUGCACUAUAUAGGGAAUAGAGCCCUAUGGCCACUGCACUAUAUAGGGAAUAGAGCCCUAUGGUCACUGCACUAUAUAGGGAAUAGAGCCCUAUGGUCACUGCACUAUAUAGGGAAUAGAGCCCUAUGGUCACUGCACUAUAUAGGGAAUAGAGCCCUAUUGUCACUGCACUAUAUAGGGAAUAGAGCCCUAUGGUCACUGCACUAUAUAGGGAAUAGAGCCCUAUGGUCACUGCACUAUAUAGGGAGUAGAGCCCUAUGGUCACUGCGCUAUAUAGGGAGUAGAGCCCUAUGGUCACUGCACUAUAUAGGGAGUAGAGCCCUAUGGUCACUGCACUAUAUAGGGAAUAGAGCCCUAUGGUCACUGCACUAUAUAGGGAAUAGAGCCCUAUGGUCACUGCACUAUAUAGGGAAUAGAGCCCUAUGGUCACUGCACUAUAUAGGGAAUAGAGCCCUAUGGUCACUGCACUAUAUAGGGAAUAGAGCCCUAUGGUCACUGCACUAUAUAGGGAAUAGAGCCCUAUGGUCACUGCACUAUAUAGGGAAUAGAGCCCUAUGGUCACUGCACUAUAUAGGGAGUAGAGCCCUAUGGUCACUGCACUAUAUAGGGAAUAGAGCCCUAUGGUCACUGCACUAUAUAGGGAAUAGAGCCCUAUGGUCACUGCACUAUAUAGGGAAUAGAGCCCUAUGGUCACUGCACUAUAUAGGGAAUAGAGCCCUAUGGUCACUGCACUAUAUAGGGAAUAGAGCCCUAUGGUCACUGCACUAUAUAGGGAAUAGAGCCCUAUGGUCACUGCACUAUAUAGGGAAUAGAGCCCUAUGGUCACUGCACUAUAUAGGGAAUAGAGCCCUAUGGUCACUGCACUAUAUAGGGAAUAGAGCCCUAUGGUCACUGCACUAUAUAGGGAAUAGAGCCCUAUGGUCACUGCACUAUAUAGGGAAUAGAGCCCUAUGGUCACUGCACUAUAUAGGGAAUAGAGCCCUAUGGUCACUGCACUAUAUAGGGAACAGAGCCCUAUGGUCACUGCACUAUAUAGGGAAUAGAGCCCUAUGGUCACUGCACUAUAUAGGGAAUAGAGCCCUAUGGUCACUGCACUAUAUAGGGAACAGAGCCCUAUGGUCACUGCACUAUAUAGGGAAUAGAGCCCUAUGGUCACUGCACUAUAUAGGGAAUAGAGCCCUAUGGUCACUGCACUAUAUAGGGAAUAGAGCCCUAUGGCCACUGCACUAUAUAGGGAACAGAGCCCUAUGGUCACUGCACUAUAUAGGGAAUAGAGCCCUAUGGUCACUGCACUAUAUAGGGAGUAGAGCCCUAUGGUCACUGCACUAUAUAGGGAAUAGAGCCCUAUGGUCACUGCACUAUAUAGGGACUAGUGGGGCUAGAGACAGGCACUACACUUCUCCGUUCAGUAGUGGGGCUAGAGACAGGCACUACACUUCUCCGUUCAGUAGUGGGGCUAGAGACAGGCACUACACUUCUCCGUUCAGUAGUGGGGCUAGAGACAGGCACUACACUUCUCCGUUCAGUAGUGGGGCUAGAGACAGGCACUACAGUUGUCUGUUCAGUAGUGGGGCUAGAGACAGGCACUACACUUCUCCGUUCAGUAGUGGGGCUAGAGACAGGCACUACACUUGUCUGUUCAGUAGUGGGGCUAGAGACAGGCACUACACUUCUCCGUUCAGUAGUGGGGCUAGAGACAGGCACUACACUUGUCUGUUCAGUAGUGGGGCUAGAGACAGGCACUACACUUCUCCGUUCAGUAGUGGGGCUAGAGACAGGCACUACAGUUGUCUGUUCAGUAGUGGGGCUAGAGACAGGCACUACACUUCUCCGUUCAGUAGUGGGGCUAGAGACAGGCACUACACUUGUCUGUUCAGUAUUGGGGCUAGAGACAGGCACUACACUUCUCCAUUCAGUAGUGGGGCUAGAGACAGGCACUACACUUCUCCGUUCAGUAGUGGGGCUAGAGACAGGCACUACACUUCUCCGUUCAGUAGUGGGGCUAGAGACAGGCACUACACUUCUCCGUUCAGUAGCUGGGAUAGAGACAGGCACUACACUUCUCCGUUCAGUAGUGGGGCUAGAGACAGACACUACACUUCACCGUUCAGUAGUGGGGCUAGAGACAGGCACUACACUUCUCCGUUCAGUAGCUGGGAUAGAGACAGGCACUACACUUCUCCGUUCAGUAGUGGGGCUAGAGACAGGCACUACACUUGUCUGUUCAGUAGCGAGUCUAGAGACAGGCACUACACUUCUCCGUUCAGUAGUGGGGCUAGAGACAGGCACUACACUUGUCUGUUCAGUAGUGGGGCUAGAGACAGGCACUACACUUCUCCGUUCAGUAGUGGGGCUAGAGACAGGCACUACACUUGUCUGUUCAGUAGUGGGGCUAGAGACAGGCACUACACUUCUCCGUUCAGUAGUGGGGCUAGAGACAGGCACUACAGUUGUCUGUUCAGUAGUGGGGCUAGAGACAGGCACUACACUUCUCCGUUCAGUAGUGGGGCUAGAGACAGGCACUACACUUGUCUGUUCAGUAUUGGGGCUAGAGACAGGCACUACACUUCUCCAUUCAGUAGUGGGGCUAGAGACAGGCACUACACUUCUCCGUUCAGUAGUGGGGCUAGAGACAGGCACUACACUUCUCCGUUCAGUAGUGGGGCUAGAGACAGGCACUACACUUCUCCGUUCAGUAGUGGGGCUAGAGACAGGCAUUACACUUGUCUGUUCAGUAGUGGGGCUAGAGACAGGCACUACACUUCUCCGUUCAGUAGUGGGGCUAGAGACAGGCACUACACUUGUCUGUUCAGUAGUGGGGCUAGAGACAGGCACUACACUUCUCCGUUCAGUAGUGGGGCUAGAGACAGGCACUACACUUGUCUGUUCAGUAUUGGGGCUAGAGACAGGCACUACACUUCUCCAUUCAGUAGUGGGGCUAGAGACAGGCACUACACUUCUCCGUUCAGUAGUGGGGCUAGAGACAGGCACUACACUUCUCCGUUCAGUAGUGGGGCUAGAGACAGGCACUACACUUCUCCGUUCAGUAGCUGGGAUAGAGACAGGCACUACACUUCUCCGUUCAGUAGUGGGGCUAGAGACAGACACUACACUUCACCGUUCAGUAGUGGGGCUAGAGACAGGCACUACACUUCUCCGUUCAGUAGCUGGGAUAGAGACAGGCACUACACUUCUCCGUUCAGUAGUGGGGCUAGAGACAGGCACUACACUUGUCUGUUCAGUAGCGAGUCUAGAGACAGGCACUACACUUCUCCGUUCAGUAGUGGGGCUAGAGACAGGCACUACACUUCUCCGUUCAGUAGUGGGGCUAGAGACAGGCACUACACUUGUCUGUUCAGUAGUGGGGCUAGAGACAGGCACUACACUUCUCCGUUCAGUAGUGGGGCUAGAGACAGGCACUACAGUUGUCUGUUCAGUAGUGGGGCUAGAGACAGGCACUACACUUCUCCGUUCAGUAGUGGGGCUAGAGACAGGCACUACACUUGUCUGUUCAGUAUUGGGGCUAGAGACAGGCACUACACUUCUCCAUUCAGUAGUGGGGCUAGAGACAGGCACUACACUUCUCCGUUCAGUAGUGGGGCUAGAGACAGGCACUACACUUCUCCGUUCAGUAGUGGGGCUAGAGACAGGCACUACACUUCUCCGUUCAGUAGUGGGGCUAGAGACAGGCACUACACUUGUCUGUUCAGUAGUGGGGCUAGAGACAGGCACUACACUUCUCCGUUCAGUAGUGGGGCUAGAGACAGGCACUACACUUGUCUGUUCAGUAGUGGGGCUAGAGACAGGCACUACACUUCUCCGUUCAGUAGUGGGGCUAGAGACAGGCACUACACUUGUCUGUUCAGUAUUGGGGCUAGAGACAGGCACUACACUUCUCCAUUCAGUAGUGGGGCUAGAGACAGGCACUACACUUCUCCGUUCAGUAGUGGGGCUAGAGACAGGCACUACACUUCUCCGUUCAGUAGUGGGGCUAGAGACAGGCACUACACUUCUCCGUUCAGUAGCUGGGAUAGAGACAGGCACUACACUUCUCCGUUCAGUAGUGGGGCUAGAGACAGACACUACACUUCACCGUUCAGUAGUGGGGCUAGAGACAGGCACUACACUUCUCCGUUCAGUAGCUGGGAUAGAGACAGGCACUACACUUCUCCGUUCAGUAGUGGGGCUAGAGACAGGCACUACACUUGUCUGUUCAGUAGCGAGUCUAGAGACAGGCACUACACUUCUCCGUUCAGUAGUGGGGCUAGAGACAGGCACUACACUUGUCUGUUCAGUAGUGGGGCUAGAGACAGGCACUACACUUCUCCAUUCAGUAGUGGGGCUAGAGACAGGCACUACACUUGUCUGUUCAGUAGUGGGGCUAGAGACAGGCACUACACUUCUCCGUUCAGUAGUGGGGCUAGAGACAGGCACUACAGUUGUCUGUUCAGUAGUGGGGCUAGAGACAGGCACUACACUUCUCCGUUCAGUAGUGGGGCUAGAGACAGGCACUACACUUCUCCGUUCAGUAGUGGGGCUAGAGACAGGCACUACACUUCUCCGUUCAGUAGCUGGGAUAGAGACAGGCACUACACUUCUCCGUUCAGUAGUGGGGCUAGAGACAGACACUACACUUCUCCGUUCCGUAGUGGGGCUAGAGACAGGCACUACACUUCUCCGUUCAGUAGCUGGGAUAGAGACAGGCACUACACUUCUCCGUUCAGUAGUGGGGCUAGAGACAGGCACUACACUUGUCUGUUCAGUAGCGAGUCUAGAGACAGGCACUACACUUCUCCGUUCAGUAGUGGGGCUAGAGACAGGCACUACACUUGUCUGUUCAGUAGUGGGGCUAGAGACAGGCACUACACUUCUCCGUUCAGUAGCGGGGCUAGAGACAGGCACUACACUUCUCUGUUCAGUAGUGGGGCUAGAGACAGGCACUACUCUUCUCCGUUCAGUAGUGGGGCUAGAGACAGGCACUACACUUCUCCGUUCAGUAGUGGGGCUAGAGACAGGCACUACACUUGUCUGUUCAGUAGUGGGGCUAGAGACAGGCACUACACUUCUCCGUUCAGUAGUGGGGCUAGAGACAGGCACUACAGUUGUCUGUUCAGUAGUGGGGCUAGAGACAGGCACUACACUUCUCCGUUCAGUAGCUGGGAUAGAGACAGGCACUACAUUUCUCUGUUCAGUAGUGGGGCUAGAGACAGGCACUACUCUUCUCCGUUCAGUAGCGGGGCUAGAGACAGGCACUACACUUCUCCGUUCAGUAGUGGGGCUAGAGACAGGCACUACACUUGUCUGUUCAGUAGCUGGGAUAGAGACAGGCACUACACUUGUCUGUUCAGUAGUGGGUCUAGAGACAGGCACUACACUUCUCCAUUCAGUAGUGGGGCUAGAGACAGGCACUACACUUCUCCAUUCAGUAGGAGAAGUGUGAAACGUACAUGUAGCAUGUAG